RNAcentral lists this long non-coding RNA (203 nucleotides) under Gossypium raimondii (Peruvian cotton). Its description in RNAcentral is "long non-coding RNA (GRAI_LNC003863)". Lineage: Eukaryota; Viridiplantae; Streptophyta; Magnoliopsida; Malvales; Malvaceae. The record is from RNAcentral.
UGAAUUAUAGAGGGAAACGUCCGUGGUUUAUAAGGUAGGUAUCAUGCGAUUGAUUUGGGAGUACAUUCGGCUUUGUGUUGUUGUGGUAAUCAUGAGUUGAGAUUAAUAAUUAGGUUGAAAUGUUCAAUUGUAGGUAUUACUAGUCUCGAAAGUGUUUUUGCUGUGACACCAUAAAAGGUGUGUAAACGUAACUCUGAAAAAUG